UGGGGAAUAUUGCACAAUGGGCGCAAGCCUGAUGCAGCCAUGCCGCGUGUAUGAAGAAGGCCUUCGGGUUGUAAAGUACUUUCAGCGAGGAGGAAGGCGGUAAGGUUAAUAACCUUAUCGAUUGACGUUACUCGCAGAAGAAGCACCGGCUAACUCCGUGCCAGCAGCCGCGGUAAUACGGAGGGUGCAAGCGUUAAUCGGAAUUACUGGGCGUAAAGCGCACGCAGGCGGUCUGUCAAGUCGGAUGUGAAAUCCCCGGGCUCAACCUGGGAACUGCAUUCGAAACUGGCAGGCUAGAGUCUCGUAGAGGGGGGUAGAAUUCCAGGUGUAGCGGUGAAAUGCGUAGAGAUCUGGAGGAAUACCGGUGGCGAAGGCGGCCCCCUGGACAAAGACUGACGCUCAGGUGCGAAAGCGUGGGGAGCAAACA
RNAcentral lists this ribosomal RNA (427 nucleotides) under uncultured bacterium. Its description in RNAcentral is "partial 16S ribosomal RNA". It matches the Rfam family "Bacterial small subunit ribosomal RNA", at positions 355 to 774 of the family's 1533-position model. The record is from RNAcentral.